GGAAAAAAUUCACCCCGGAGGACUUAGAGAUUCCCAGUGAGAACAUUCUAAUCCAAUUCGGAAACAAUCAAAUCUGUAAAUGUCAAAACUGCAAAUGUGUGGGAAUAACUACAUUUUUUCUUACAUCCCUCUAAUGAAGUAUUUGAGGUUUUUCUUCUGCACUGUGAGGAAAGGCAGAAAGUGAAUGCUGACUGGCCCACGGUCUCUCUUGAGAAAAAUGCUUGAGUUAAAUUUUUGAUCUGCAACUUUCCUUCACUUUCUGUCUUAACACCCUUAAUUGCUACAACACACUGUGUCCUAUUAAAGAAAGGUGAGGCUUGCCAGAGACUGCGAGCGUGAAAGGUGGCAAUUCCUCAUGAAGCUGAAGCAGCAUGCUUGAAUGUUACAGUCCUGUUUUUCCUCUUCCUUAAUAACUCAAGACUGCAUUUUUCUCCCACCUCCAUUUCUUUCUUUCUACACCUCCCAGCCGCUACCACCUACACACUCCGAUCUGUUUCUCCCUUAAAAUCUUUCCACCGUGUGCAUAAUUGUUCCAAUUUUGACGGAAAUACAAUAAAAGUUUGGAACACAGCCAUUUGCAGUGCUUCAAGGCUGUUUUCCUAAACGUACUUCUAGGGAGUAAAUGCCUUUGAACACAGCUUUUACUAUUUGUGAUGUUAGGUGUAUAUGUGUUGGCAUCUGGUUUUUUUUUCUUAUUGUAUUACUCUUCCCCUUCUCCAAAGAAAGCCUUAGAGCAGGAUAGAGGAAAUGUCUCCUGUAGGUCCCGUACAUUCCCCAAGCCCACUUUUAUGGACCCAACACACUUCCCCUUUUUUUCCAGGCUGAGCUCUAGUGGACUUUCCACCUCUAAACCAUUCAAAAUACAAGAAAAGCAUUUACAAAUCCAGCAGGUUUAACCUUCUAUAAAGUCCCUUCUCAAAUGGCUUUUUGGAAGCUGAAAAUCAGGCCAAAAUUGAGAGCAGAAGUGAUGUGAUGUCACUUUUGAUGUGCUGCCAAAAUACCGGUGUAGCUGCCUUAGAAUAUGCCAGGGUUUUUUUUUUAGCUAAUUAAGAACAUUUUUUAGAAUCUUGAUAUGUAUCUCUUGGGUAUUUCAUUGGAUGCUCGCCAGUUUUUGUUCUCUUUUCCAUUUAUAAUAUAUCACACACACAUUAAUGUACUGGAUUUUGCCAGGGUCCCUCCAGCUAUUUCCCAAACCAUAUAAAUAUUAAAAACCUUUGUGUGUGUGUGUGUAUGAUGUGUGUGUGUGUGUGACAGAUGAUCCUCUUUAUCACCAAGAUGAGCUCAGGAUGUUUGUCCAUUUGACAUGAGGCUGAAAAUAUGCCACUUCUGUGGAAUUUGUUAACUUUCUGAAUGGGCAGUCAGGCCCGUGAUUGUCUGGAGUUAUCACCUUUUUUGUGUCUUGCACCCUUUGUCUCACAUGAAACUGGGUACUUGAAUUAAUCCAAAACUCAUCAGCAUAUCCACAUCACUAUUUCCUCCAGGUUCGUGCCCUCCCAAGGGGCAUCUCUGCAAUGGAUUGGUCCUUUAAACUGACCAAUUACCAGCUGUCUUUCUUUCUGCCACAGGAAUCUCCUCCUGCAGACUGUGACAUCAUAGGAACCCUGGCCAAUCCUGUCUUGGUCCUAGCCUGCCUCCCUUUUCAGCCAAUCAGGAGAGGGAGCGGUCCUGAAGAAAAAGAAGAUGAAGGAGGGGGAGGAGGAGGAAGAGGACCACUUUUCUGGGUUGUGAGGACGCCAACCUUUUACUGUGGCUCAGAGUAAGAAAUAUUUCAGAAAUGGACUAUUAGUGCCCAUUCCCUUUUUUGAGCAGAAAUGAACACAAUGAAGAUAAGACAGGCACGGGGGACAUUAAAAUGUCAAAACCGGUAUGUGUUUAUGCCAGAAUUGAAAAGCUGCCUCCAUUUCAUCAAAAUGCAAGUGUAAGUUGUUGUUUACAGAAAAAAGAAAUCACCCAGCCAUCCAUAUAUAUGAAAAGAAAAAUACCAACAAUGACAUUUAAGAAUAAUAAUUUUAGAACUAUGUUUUGAUAUCCUGGAUUGAUAUUCCAUAUAGAAGUCAGGGGUUGAACCACAGUUUUCCAGCUCAGUUGGAAUGGGAAAUUGGUUUAAGAACCCUUGAAACCUCCCAUUAUUAUAUUGUGACAGAGAAAGGAGGGGGGGGGACAUGGAGGGGGGAACAAUGUCCAAGCCAGACCUACAGAAUUUCUAAGAAGACAAUAUUCACAUUUAGAACCAAAGAACUAUCUAGAUAUGGGAAUUCUCAGCAGCCUUUUUCCUUCAUUUUUUCCCUGUUGAACUAUCCUGCCGCUGCUACAGCACCAAUUAAGUAAACUUGCUUUUUUAUACAUUAUAGGUAAGUCCCAUCAAAUUACAUCUCUUAUCUUCAUUGCCUGAAGGCUUAACACUUUCAUCAUGCAGGAUUUUUAAAGCAGUUUAUGAGUAAUCUUCUCAACUAAGGAGGUAUGUAGGUAGAUACUUCAAUUUUCACAGCUGUCAGUCACAUGAAAAUCUGUUUUCAUCCAACACUCUCAAAAGAGUUAUUCAAACAAUUCGGACCUGAUUCAACAGAGAACAAAAAUGGUAUAGAUAAUAUAUAAAACAUUGAAAUGAGAAAAUAAACACUUGCAAAAAAUG
Molecule: long non-coding RNA, 2632 nt
Organism: Anolis carolinensis (green anole)
Lineage: Eukaryota; Metazoa; Chordata; Lepidosauria; Squamata; Anolidae
Exons: 3
Source: RefSeq, a predicted model, not a curated record